AAAAAAACCCACUUAGGGUAAAAGGGCCCAAAUACUUUUUGGGAAAAAAAAAAGGACCGGCUAUUAUAAGAGGAGUGGGGGAAAAAUUAGAGGGGGAGACCAGAUGGCAACAGGGAGAGGAAGGAAAAAAGGGAAUUGCGGAAGAGAAAAAGGGGGGGGGGGAACGUUCUUUCACGUUCUUCCUGGCUUUGCAAGGGAGGAAAUAGGAGAGGGAGAGAGGAGAGCUUCUUCUUCGAAGGCAAGAGGGGAAUCAAAUCAUUGAUCUCGCAGAAACCCUAAUUUGUUUCAUUUUCUGUGGUUGAUCGGAACUCAGAAGUGCUAUAGAAACAGUCAAAGCUAAUCCUCCAUGACCAAAAGCUCCUUCAAGCUCAAACACCCACUCGGCUGUGGAUGGAAGUAUCGUGCUAAAAAUAUGGAAUUUAUAUAAUGGAUGGAAUGAGAACUUUUGAACGGGUAACGAGGAGGUUAGAUGCAGCCAUAAAGCUUACGAAAAAUUAUUAUGCGACUUGGACCUUGAAUUAUGCUAUGUACAUAUUCCAAAGGCGGGAUAUAUUCGAGAUACAGGUAUUUGAUGACGUCACGUGUCGAUCUUGGACGUACGUCGGGAUCGGGGCGUGACAGUAUAACUACGGAAUACUGUUGUUGGAGAUGUUAACUGGCAAGAGGCCGACAUAUGACAUGUUUAAUAGUGGUGUAGACCUACAUAAUUUUGUUAUGAUGGCGCUACCAGAAUGUGCGGGAGAAAUAUGUGAUCCACUACUUGUUCAAAUAGAAGAAAGCCUCAACAGUACUAAUCCCAUAAGUAAUAGGGGGAAUCAUGCCUCAAAUGAUCGAAGAAAAAGGGUUGUAGAGUGCUUGACUUCCAUUGCAAGAGUAGGAGUUGCUUGUUCUGUAGCGAUGCCGAGAGAGCGAAAAGACAUGAGCAAUGUGGUAGCUGAAUUGAGUCUAAUAAGGGAUGUGCUAACUGGAACUAGGAUGCCUAGAGAGUAUCCGUGAUGACGAUCCAAGUAGUGAGUAAUAAUACCCUAUUAUCGUUAAAUAAAAUCCCAUGACUGUGCUGGAACUUUGCAUGGUGAUCUUCUGAAUGAUGACGAGGAGGACUGGAUCAAGUGAAGUGGAUUUUCCUGUUUUUGUCACUUUGUUUGUUUUGUGAAUGAUCUUAAUUUGUAAGAUCAUCUUUAUGUUUUGUUGGAAAUUUGGAAUUUGUCAAUUUAAGGUUGGUUCAUGUUCUUAUAA
This is a non-coding RNA of Malus domestica (apple), 1236 nucleotides long. Lineage: Eukaryota; Viridiplantae; Streptophyta; Magnoliopsida; Rosales; Rosaceae. The record is from RefSeq and is a predicted model, not a curated record.